GGACCCGCACAAGUAGUGGAGCAUGUGGUUUAAUUCGAAGAUACGCGCAGAACCUUACCAACACUUGACAUGUUCGUCGCGACUUUAAGAGAUUAAAGUUUUCGGUUCGGCCGGACGAAACACAGGUGCUGCAUGGCUGUCGUCAGCUCGUGUCGUGAGAUGUUGGGUUAAGUCCCGCAACGAGCGCAACCCUCACUUUUAGUUGCCAUCAUUAAGUUGGGCACUCUGAAAGAACUGCCAGUGAUAAGCUGGAGGAAGGUGGGGAUGACGUCAAGUCCUCAUGGCCCUUACGUGUUGGGCUACACACGUGCUACAAUGGUAUCUACAACAGGAAGCAAAACGGCGACGUUAAGCAAAUCCUCAAAACCGAUCUCAGUUCGGAUUGGAGUCUGCAACUCGACUCCAUG
RNAcentral lists this ribosomal RNA (407 nucleotides) under uncultured bacterium. RNAcentral describes it as "bacterial SSU rRNA". It matches the Rfam family "Bacterial small subunit ribosomal RNA", at positions 917 to 1322 of the family's 1533-position model. The record is from RNAcentral.